Molecule: transfer RNA, 73 nt
Filed under: Canis lupus familiaris (dog)
Lineage: Eukaryota; Metazoa; Chordata; Mammalia; Carnivora; Canidae
Also listed under: 1 other name
Rfam family: tRNA
About the family: Transfer RNA (tRNA) molecules are approximately 80 nucleotides in length. Their secondary structure includes four short double-helical elements and three loops (D, anti-codon, and T loops).
Source: Rfam by way of RNAcentral
GCCUGGCUGGCUCAGUCAGUAGAGCAUGUGACUCUUGAUCUCAGAGUUGUUAGUUCAAGCCCUGUGUUGGGUU